Molecule: ribosomal RNA, 814 nt
Filed under: uncultured Staphylococcus sp.
Lineage: Bacteria; Bacillati; Bacillota; Bacilli; Caryophanales; Staphylococcaceae
Description: bacterial SSU rRNA
Rfam family: Bacterial small subunit ribosomal RNA
Source: RNAcentral
UCCUUUGACGUAGCGGCGGACGGGUGAGUAACACGUGGGUAACCUACCUAUAAGACUGGGACAACUUCGGGAAACCGGAGCUAAUACCGGAUAAUAUGUUGAACCGCAUGGUUCAAUAGUGAAAGAUGGUUUUGCUAUCACUUAUAGAUGGACCCGCGCCGUAUUAGCUAGUUGGUGAGGUAACGGCUCACCAAGGCAACGAUACGUAGCCGACCUGAGAGGGUGAUCGGCCACACUGGAACUGAGACACGGUCCAGACUCCUACGGGAGGCAGCAGUAGGGAAUCUUCCGCAAUGGGCGAAAGCCUGACGGAGCAACGCCGCGUGAGUGAUGAAGGUCUUAGGAUCGUAAAACUCUGUUAUUAGGGAAGAACAAACGUGUAAGUAACUGUGCACGUCUUGACGGUACCUAAUCAGAAAGCCACGGCUAACUACGUGCCAGCAGCCGCGGUAAUACGUAGGUGGCAAGCGUUAUCCGGAAUUAUUGGGCGUAAAGCGCGCGUAGGCGGUUUUUUAAGUCUGAUGUGAAAGCCCACGGCUCAACCGUGGAGGGUCAUUGGAAACUGGAAAACUUGAGUGCAGAAGAGGAAAGUGGAAUUCCAUGUGUAGCGGUGAAAUGCGCAGAGAUAUGGAGGAACACCAGUGGCGAAGGCGACUUUCUGGUCUGUAACUGACGCUGAUGUGCGAAAGCGUGGGGAUCAAACAGGAUUAGAUACCCUGGUAGUCCACGCCGUAAACGAUGAGUGCUAAGUGUUAGGGGGUUUCCGCCCCUUAGUGCUGCAGCUAACGCUAAGCACUCCGCCUGGGGAGUACGA